RNAcentral lists this ribosomal RNA (457 nucleotides) under uncultured Comamonadaceae bacterium. RNAcentral describes it as "bacterial SSU rRNA". It matches the Rfam family "Bacterial small subunit ribosomal RNA", at positions 342 to 791 of the family's 1533-position model. The record is from RNAcentral. Lineage: Bacteria; Pseudomonadati; Pseudomonadota; Betaproteobacteria; Burkholderiales; Comamonadaceae.
CGGGGGGCAGCAGUGGGGAAUUUUGGACAAUGGGCGCAAGCCUGAUCCAGCCAUGCCGCGUGUGGGAAGAAGGCCUUCGGGUUGUAAACCACUUUUGUCAGGGAAGAAACGGCUUAGUUUAAUACGCUGAGCUAAUGACGGUACCUGAAGAAUAAGCACCGGCUAACUACGUGCCAGCAGCCGCGGUAAUACGUAGGGUGCAAGCGUUAAUCGGAAUUACUGGGCGUAAAGCGUGCGCAGGCGGCUUUGCAAGACAGAUGUGAAAUCCCCGGGCUCAACCUGGGAACUGCAUUUGUGACUGCAUGGCUAGAGUGCGGCAGAGGGGGAUGGAAUUCCGCGUGUAGCAGUGAAAUGCGUAGAUAUGCGGAGGAACACCGAUGGCGAAGGCAAUCCCCUGGGCCUGCACUGACGCUCAUGCACGAAAGCGUGGGGAGCAAACAGGAUUAGAUACCCGAGU